RNAcentral lists this ribosomal RNA (443 nucleotides) under uncultured bacterium. RNAcentral describes it as "partial 16S ribosomal RNA". It matches the Rfam family "Bacterial small subunit ribosomal RNA", at positions 338 to 795 of the family's 1533-position model. The record is from RNAcentral.
CCUACGGGAGGCAGCAGUGGGGAAUAUUGGGCAAUGGGCGCAAGCCUGACCCAGCAACGCCGCGUGAAGGAAGAAGGCCCUCGGGUUGUAAACUUCUUUUAUCAGGGACGAAAAAAAUGACGGUACCUGAUGAAUAAGCCACGGCUAACUACGUGCCAGCAGCCGCGGUAAUCCGUAGGUGGCAAGCGUUAUCCGGAUUUACUGGGUUUAAAGGGAGUGUAGGCGGGUGAGCAAGUCAGACGUGAAAUUCCAGGGCUCAACCCUGGUAGUGCGUUGCAAACUGUUCUCCUUGAGUGAUGGGAAGGCAGGCGGAAUGCGGGGUGUAGCGGUGAAAUGCGUAGAUAUAACGAGGAACACCAGUGGCGAAGGCGGCCUGCUGCACAUUAACUGACGCUGAGGCGCGAAAGCGUGGGGAGCAAACAGGAUUAGAUACCCUAGUAGUC